Molecule: long non-coding RNA, 360 nt
Organism: Branchiostoma belcheri (Belcher's lancelet)
Lineage: Eukaryota; Metazoa; Chordata; Leptocardii; Amphioxiformes; Branchiostomatidae
Exons: 3
Source: RefSeq, a predicted model, not a curated record
GAAAUGGAUGGAGAGAGAGAAUACAAAUGGACACCGUAUUUCUGUGACCCUGUUGCAGAAGCAAAGGAUCUAUUAGUAUCAUACGUUUGCCAAAUAGACCCUGAUACAUGGCCAGUCGAAAUAAGUUGUCCCACUGGCUUUCGAGGCACAACAGACACAAUGUGCUACAAGCUCCUCACUACAAGAAUGUCGGCAAUAGACGCACUGGCUGCUUGUAGGAGUGAGGCAGGAUUGGCCACGGACCCCGCCAAGCCAAAGACUCAGCAACAACACGACAUGCUGAAGACCAUAGUCCGCGGCUAUAUAUCGCCAUGCAUCGGCGUAUCUGAUACAAUUGAAGAGGGAACCUGGGCAUACGCU